RNAcentral lists this microRNA precursor (94 nucleotides) under Cajanus cajan (pigeon pea). RNAcentral describes it as "miRNA gene-KK1_050666". Lineage: Eukaryota; Viridiplantae; Streptophyta; Magnoliopsida; Fabales; Fabaceae. The record is from RNAcentral.
AUUAUUAAUAUUUUUAUUAGAUAAUAAUAAUAAUAAUAAUAAAUUUAUUAUCAUUAAAUAAUUAUUACUAAAAAUAAAUUUUGUUGUAGUAUAA